Molecule: long non-coding RNA, 545 nt
Filed under: Polistes fuscatus (common paper wasp)
Lineage: Eukaryota; Metazoa; Arthropoda; Insecta; Hymenoptera; Vespidae
Description: uncharacterized LOC122525917
Source: RNAcentral
UAAAACUGAAAACUCGUAAGAGCUCUUCAAAGAUCUCGUCAUUAUCACAUUUCUCGAAUCUUAAGCCUUGUGAUGAUUCGUUGAUAACGAUAACGAUAACAACAUUCAUGGAUGAGAAACUUAUUUCGUUAUCUCUAAUUGGCCAAAAAAAUUCAGUACGGACCAAGGAAAAAAAAACACUUGGCCCCCAAACUUCCAUCUCAGCGCGAUUGCGAAUAUAAAUAGAAUGACAAAAAAAAUGGCCGAUUAGAUAAGAAGAAAUUACGAGGAAUCUUCUACUACUCUUAUGCUACUGUUGUCUUUCUCCUAGAAGGAAAAAGAAACUAAUAACAACACACUUGCCAUCACCUUUGCUUAACGUAGAUAAUUUCAAACAGAAAAUAAAAACAAACAAACAUAACUAGUCGAACUAAUAAGAAACUACUAUUACAUAUAGGCAUGCGCAACACAUAACAUAUAUAUAUACAUAACAUAACAUAUCCUGGCAAUGAAUAAUUGUCUCGUAAACUCUACCAAUAAUAAAAUAAAAAGUAUUGAAAGAAAAA